UAAAUUAUAACAAAUCAAGUUACCAUUGGUUAAUUCAAAACUUACGAGAUAAGAACUAUAUUUGUGAAGUAUGGAAGAAUAAAGAAAUAAGCAACAUACUUUUUAAUACAUGUGGAUGUACAACACAAUUUCAUAUCGCGUAAUGUAUGUUCAAAUUGUACUUAGGCCAAUUUUGUUACUUUAAUAUUUUUAGUAUUUUGUGAAAUUUGUUUUAAAUUAAUUUGGCUUAAAUUAGAAGCCAAAUUCGUAUAGCCCAUUUAGGAAG
This 265-nucleotide long non-coding RNA is filed under the name Manihot esculenta (cassava). Its description in RNAcentral is "long non-coding RNA (MESC_LNC005324)". The record is from RNAcentral. Lineage: Eukaryota; Viridiplantae; Streptophyta; Magnoliopsida; Malpighiales; Euphorbiaceae.